GGGGGCGACAGGUUUCGACGGGACGGCUGAGGUCUGACCUGCGCGUCGAGGUCUCCGGUAACCUCGUAAAACAACUGGAACACUUUACAAGUGCCAACGAUUAUUCGUAUGCACUGGCUGCCUAAAAAAGGGUAGCCCGUUCUGCCCGGAUCCGCUUACCGGUUCGGGACAGGGCGUCGAUCAGGUAAGCUGGCGCCGCAUCGGGCCCUCGUUUGCGGCGUAAGACUUAAGAGGACUGGGCGGGCUGAAAGCCCGGCGAUUGGCGUUCUGCCUGCCGAGACUCAAUGAUUCGCCUACACGCGUAGACGGUCAUUCGGACGCGUUUUCGGACGGGGGUUCGAUUCCCCCCGCCUCCAUUG
RNAcentral lists this transfer-messenger RNA (359 nucleotides) under bacterium. Its description in RNAcentral is "GCA-020348065 sp020348065 Standard tmRNA". It matches the Rfam family "transfer-messenger RNA". Rfam says of the family: Bacterial tmRNA, also known as 10Sa RNA or SsrA, is named for its dual tRNA and mRNA-like properties. Its role is to liberate the mRNA from a stalled ribosome. RNAcentral also lists the same sequence under 1 other name. The record is from RNAcentral.